This 497-nucleotide ribosomal RNA is filed under the name uncultured bacterium. RNAcentral describes it as "partial 16S ribosomal RNA". It matches the Rfam family "Bacterial small subunit ribosomal RNA", at positions 28 to 507 of the family's 1533-position model. The record is from RNAcentral.
GAUGAACGCUGGCGGCGUGCCUAAUACAUGCAAGUCGAGCGAACAGACGAGGAGCUUGCUCCUCUGACGUUAGCGGCGGACGGGUGAGUAACACGUGGAUAACCUACCUAUAAGACUGGGAUAACUUCGGGAAACCGGAGCUAAUACCGGAUAAUAUAUUGAACCGCAUGGUUCAAUAGUGAAAGACGGUUUUGCUGUCACUUAUAGAUGGAUCCGCGCCGCAUUAGCUAGUUGGUAAGGUAACGGCUUACCAAGGCAACGAUGCGUAGCCGACCUGAGAGGUUGAUCGGCCACACUAGAACUGAGACACGGUCCAGCCUCCUACGGGCGGCAGCAGUAGGGAAUCUUCCGCAAUGGGCGGAAGCCUGACGGAGCACCGCCGCGUGAGUGAUGAAGGUCUUCGGAUCGUAAAACUCUCUUAUUAGGGAAGAACAAAUGUGUAAGUAACUAUGCACGUCUUGACGGUACCUAAUCAGAAAGCCACGGCUAACUACGUG